CUCUAACAGCUGAAGAGAAAUAGGCCCCUCUAGGGAACCUUAUGAAAAUAGCUGAGUUAAAUCCACUACCCCAGCUGUUUACAGACCUGAUCCAGAGAAUCUCCUAGUGGCGUCCCAGUUCUGAUGUCUUCAAAGAGCACAAUGUAUUUUAAAAUAGAUAAAAGCUGCAUAAAAUACGUUUGUGGCUCUUCAAAUUCACUCAGGCAUUGAUUUGUAUUUUUAUAAAUACAAAUAGGACCAGCUAGAUACAUUUGAUAGAUGAGACUUAUUUCACAACAACCUUUUGUCAGAUAUUUUAUUGGCCUUUCAUACAAACAGUAGUGCACGCAUCAGGCAGCUGCAGUUGGAGACAGGAUGGACUUUUGAACCAAAAGGAGCAGAGGACUGAAUUUCAGAGGUGACAUCCACAGGAUGUUCUGCUGAGAGCUCUUCACGGACACGACUUCUCCGGAUGAGACUCAUGGGAUAAAGUAUUCAAGAAAUUGAACAUAGGACUGGUCAUAGGAGGUUUCCUCCCUUUCAGGGAAUAGCUCCACGACUCUGAACUCUGCAGGGAGGAAGUGCAGAGUUUAAAACAGAAGACAUGGCUGUUCUGACUAUUCUUGCUGUGUCCUCAGGGAAAGAAGUACAAGGAGAACAGGACUGCACUGAAAAAAAGAAGAUAGAACAAAGCCAUGAUUUCCUUCAGUUGCCGCACAUCUACAGGGAAGAGUAAUUUGUGGAAACAUGGAGAUGGAGGGGUAAUGGAUUUCUCUGUCAAAAUGAUGAGUGAAAGAAAGACGUAAUUACCACUAAUGCACUUCAAUUACGGCUCGACGGUUUUUUAGCUGUAUGUUCCCAUUUAAUUUUCAUUUAAAACAAAACAGUUGCCACAGACCCAGAGCUAAAAACAGAAAACUCUUUCAGCUACUGGCAAAUUAGCUAGUAAUGUUCUUAUUAUAUAAGCACAGGGAAGAUUGGCUUCUUCCAGGCAAACACAGGAAGUGCUUGUUUGUUUCAGGCACUACUUCUUCUUCCCAGCAAACUCACAGUUGAACUUUAUUUCCAACGUUAUAAUCAGCUAAGCAUGAUAAUACUUUUUUCUGGUUCCUAUUUAGUUUUCAAA
RNAcentral lists this long non-coding RNA (1105 nucleotides) under Struthio camelus australis. RNAcentral's name for it is "lncRNA (ENSSCUG00000008301.1)". The record is from RNAcentral. Lineage: Eukaryota; Metazoa; Chordata; Aves; Struthioniformes; Struthionidae.